GUCGAUGGUAGGUUACGCGCCUACCAUGGUUGUCACGGGUGACGGGGAAUCAGGGUUCGAUUCCGGAGAGGGAGCCUGAGAAACGGCUACCACAUCCAAGGAAGGCAGCAGGCGCGCAAAUUACCCACUCCCGGCACGGGGAGGUAGUGACGAAAAAUAACGAUACGGGACUCAUAUGAGGCUCCGUAAUCGGAAUGAGUACACUUUAAAUCCUUUAACGAGGAUCCACUGGAGGGCAAGUCUGGUGCCAGCAGCCGCGGUAAUUCCAGCUCCAGUAGUCUAUGCCAAAGUUGUUGCGGUUAAAAAGCUCGUAGUUGGAUCUCGGUUCGAGACGGUUGGACCGCCUUUCGGGCGGUUUUCCUGACCGCUGCGAACAGAAUGAACUGGCACGUCCGGCGGUGCUCUUCAUCGAGUGUCGUCGGGUGGCCGGUGCGUUUACUUUGAAAAAAUUAGAGUGCUCAAAGCGGGCGGAGAUGCCAGAAUAAUAGUGCAUGGAAUAAUGAAAUAGGAUCUCGGUUCUAUUUUGUUGGUUCUCGGAACGCGAGAUAAUGAUUAAUAGGAACAGACGGGGGCAUUCGUAUUGCGACGUUAGAGGUGAAAUUCUUGGAUCGUCGCAAGACGGAC
Molecule: ribosomal RNA, 624 nt
Filed under: Linguatula serrata
Lineage: Eukaryota; Metazoa; Arthropoda; Ichthyostraca; Porocephalida; Linguatulidae
Description: SSU rRNA
Rfam family: Eukaryotic small subunit ribosomal RNA
Source: RNAcentral